This 425-nucleotide ribosomal RNA is filed under the name uncultured bacterium. RNAcentral describes it as "partial 16S ribosomal RNA". It matches the Rfam family "Bacterial small subunit ribosomal RNA", at positions 354 to 796 of the family's 1533-position model. The record is from RNAcentral.
GUAGGGAAUCUUGCGCAAUGGGCGAAAGCCUGACGCAGCCAUGCCGCGUGAAUGAUGAAGGUCUUAGGAUUGUAAAAUUCUUUCACCGGGGACGAUAAUGACGGUACCCGGAGAAGAAGCUCCGGCUAACUUCGUGCCAGCAGCCGCGUUAAUACGAAGGGGGCUAGCGUUGCUCGGAAUUACUGGGCGGAAAGGGCGCGUAGGCGGACAGCUUAGUCAGAGGUGAAAGCCCAGGGCUCAACCUUGGAAUUGCCUUUGAUACUGGCUGUGUUGAGUUUGGGAGAGGUGAGUGGAACUCCGAGUGUAGAGGUGAAAUUCGUAGAUAUUCGGAAGAACACCAGUGGCGAAGACGACUCACUGGCCCAAUACUGACGCUGAGGCGCGAAAGCGUGGGGAGCAAACAGGAUUAGAUACCCGGGUAGUCC